This 78-nucleotide small RNA is filed under the name Nitratireductor indicus. RNAcentral describes it as "suhB". It matches the Rfam family "Makes More Granules Regulator RNA (mmgR)". From Rfam's summary of the family: SuhB later renamed mmgR (makes more granules regulator) was a putative non-coding RNA found multiple times in the Agrobacterium tumefaciens genome and related alpha-proteobacteria. Lineage: Bacteria; Pseudomonadati; Pseudomonadota; Alphaproteobacteria; Hyphomicrobiales; Phyllobacteriaceae. The record is from RNAcentral. RNAcentral also lists the same sequence under 1 other name.
GCCUAAUGCCCUUUUGGGCGUUUCCUCCCUAGACUUUAGACCGCGUCGCGAAGCGAUGCGGUCUUUUUUUAUGCAUCC